Molecule: ribosomal RNA, 498 nt
Filed under: uncultured bacterium
Lineage: Bacteria
Description: partial 16S ribosomal RNA
Rfam family: Bacterial small subunit ribosomal RNA
Source: RNAcentral
AUUGAACGCUGGCGGCAUGCCUUACACAUGCAAGUCGAACGGUAACCCGGGGCAACCUGGCGACGAGUGGCGAACGGGUGAGUAAUGUAUCGGAACGUGCCCAGUUGUGGGGGAUAACUGCUCGAAAGAGCAGCUAAUACCGCAUACGACCUGAGGGUGAAAGCGGGGGAUCGCAAGACCUCGCGCAAUUGGAGCGGCCGAUAUCAGAUUAGGUAGUUGGUGGGGUAAAGGCCCACCAAGCCAACGAUCUGUAGCUGGUCUGAGAGGACGACCAGCCACACUGGGACGGAGACACGGCCCAGACUCCUACGGGAGGCAGCAGUGGGGAAUUUUGGACAAUGGACGCAAGUCUGAUCCAGCCAGGCCGCGUGCGGGAAGAAGGCCUUCGGGUUGUAAACCGCUUUUGUCAGGGAAGAAAAGGGCGACUCUAAUACAGUUGCCUCAUGACGGUACCUGAAGAAUAAGCACCGGCUAACUACGUGCCAGCAGCCGCCGUAA